Molecule: ribosomal RNA, 279 nt
Filed under: uncultured bacterium
Lineage: Bacteria
Description: partial 16S ribosomal RNA
Rfam family: Bacterial small subunit ribosomal RNA
Source: RNAcentral
UGCCAGCCGCCGCGGUAAUACGUAGGGUGCAAGCGUUGUCCGGAUUUAUUGGGUUUAAAGGGUGCGCAGGCGGCGUACUAAGUUAGUGGUGAAAUCGUACGGCUUAACCGUAUACCCGCCAUUGAUACUGGUAUGCUUGAGUAUGUUUGAGGAAGUUGGAAUGCGUGGUGUAGCGGUGAAAUGCAUAGAUAUCACGCAGAACACCGAUUGCGAAGGCAGACUUCUAGGACAUAACUGACGCUGAGGCACGAAAGCGUGGGGAGCGAACAGGAUUAGAUA